RNAcentral lists this ribosomal RNA (2465 nucleotides) under Escherichia coli. RNAcentral's name for it is "partial 23S ribosomal RNA". It matches the Rfam family "Bacterial large subunit ribosomal RNA", at positions 375 to 2833 of the family's 2925-position model. The record is from RNAcentral. Lineage: Bacteria; Pseudomonadati; Pseudomonadota; Gammaproteobacteria; Enterobacterales; Enterobacteriaceae.
GUACACAAAAAUGCACAUAUUGUGAGCUCGAUGAGUAGGGCGGGACACGUGGUAUCCUGUCUGAAUAUGGGGGGACCAUCCUCCAAGGCUAAAUACUCCUGACUGACCGAUAGUGAACCAGUACCGUGAGGGAAAGGCGAAAAGAACCCCGGCGAGGGGAGUGAAAAAGAACCUGAAACCGUGUACGUACAAGCAGUGGGAGCCUCUUUAUGGGGUGACUGCGUACCUUUUGUAUAAUGGGUCAGCGACUUAUAUUCUGUAGCAAGGUUAACCGAAUAGGGGAGCCGAAGGGAAACCGAGUCUUAACUGGGCGUUAAGUUGCAGGGUAUAGACCCGAAACCCGGUGAUCUAGCCAUGGGCAGGUUGAAGGUUGGGUAACACUAACUGGAGGACCGAACCGACUAAUGUUGAAAAAUUAGCGGAUGACUUGUGGCUGGGGGUGAAAGGCCAAUCAAACCGGGAGAUAGCUGGUUCUCCCCGAAAGCUAUUUAGGUAGCGCCUCGUGAAUUCAUCUCCGGGGGUAGAGCACUGUUUCGGCAAGGGGGUCAUCCCGACUUACCAACCCGAUGCAAACUGCGAAUACCGGAGAAUGUUAUCACGGGAGACACACGGCGGGUGCUAACGUCCGUCGUGAAGAGGGAAACAACCCAGACCGCCAGCUAAGGUCCCAAAGUCAUGGUUAAGUGGGAAACGAUGUGGGAAGGCCCAGACAGCCAGGAUGUUGGCUUAGAAGCAGCCAUCAUUUAAAGAAAGCGUAAUAGCUCACUGGUCGAGUCGGCCUGCGCGGAAGAUGUAACGGGGCUAAACCAUGCACCGAAGCUGCGGCAGCGACACUAUGUGUUGUUGGGUAGGGGAGCGUUCUGUAAGCCUGUGAAGGUGGCCUGUGAGGGUUGCUGGAGGUAUCAGAAGUGCGAAUGCUGACAUAAGUAACGAUAAAGCGGGUGAAAAGCCCGCUCGCCGGAAGACCAAGGGUUCCUGUCCAACGUUAAUCGGGGCAGGGUGAGUCGACCCCUAAGGCGAGGCCGAAAGGCGUAGUCGAUGGGAAACAGGUUAAUAUUCCUGUACUUGGUGUUACUGCGAAGGGGGGACGGAGAAGGCUAUGUUGGCCGGGCGACGGUUGUCCCGGUUUAAGCGUGUAGGCUGGUUUUCCAGGCAAAUCCGGAAAACCAAGGCUGAGGCGUGAUGACGAGGCACUACGGUGCUGAAGCGACAAAUGCCCUGCUUCCAGGAAAAGCCUCUAAGCAUCAGGUAACAUCAAAUCGUACCCCAAACCGACACAGGUGGUCAGGUAGAGAAUACCAAGGCGCUUGAGAGAACUCGGGUGAAGGAACUAGGCAAAAUGGUGCCGUAACUUCGGGAGAAGGCACGCUGAUAUGUAGGUGAAGCGACUUGCUCGUGGAGCUGAAAUCAGUCGAAGAUACCAGCUGGCUGCAACUGUUUAUUAAAAACACAGCACUGUGCAAACACGAAAGUGGACGUAUACGGUGUGACGCCUGCCCGGUGCCGGAAGGUUAAUUGAUGGGGUUAGCGGUAACGCGAAGCUCUUGAUCGAAGCCCCGGUAAACGGCGGCCGUAACUAUAACGGUCCUAAGGUAGCGAAAUUCCUUGUCGGGUAAGUUCCGACCUGCACGAAUGGCGUAAUGAUGGCCAGGCUGUCUCCACCCGAGACUCAGUGAAAUUGAACUCGCUGUGAAGAUGCAGUGUACCCGCGGCAAGACGGAAAGACCCCGUGAACCUUUACUAUAGCUUGACACUGAACAUUGAGCCUUGAUGUGUAGGAUAGGUGGGAGGCUUUGAAGUGUGGACGCCAGUCUGCAUGGAGCCGACCUUGAAAUACCACCCUUUAAUGUUUGAUGUUCUAACGUUGGCCCGUAAUCCGGGUUGCGGACAGUGUCUGGUGGGUAGUUUGACUGGGGCGGUCUCCUCCUAAAGAGUAACGGAGGAGCACGAAGGUUGGCUAAUCCUGGUCGGACAUCAGGAGGUUAGUGCAAUGGCAUAAGCCAGCUUGACUGCGAGCGUGACGGCGCGAGCAGGUGCGAAAGCAGGUCAUAGUGAUCCGGUGGUUCUGAAUGGAAGGGCCAUCGCUCAACGGAUAAAAGGUACUCCGGGGAUAACAGGCUGAUACCGCCCAAGAGUUCAUAUCGACGGCGGUGUUUGGCACCUCGAUGUCGGCUCAUCACAUCCUGGGGCUGAAGUAGGUCCCAAGGGUAUGGCUGUUCGCCAUUUAAAGUGGUACGCGAGCUGGGUUUAGAACGUCGUGAGACAGUUCGGUCCCUAUCUGCCGUGGGCGCUGGAGAACUGAGGGGGGCUGCUCCUAGUACGAGAGGACCGGAGUGGACGCAUCACUGGUGUUCGGGUUGUCAUGCCAAUGGCACUGCCCGGUAGCUAAAUGCGGAAGAGAUAAGUGCUGAAAGCAUCUAAGCACGAAACUUGCCCCGAGAUGAGUUCUCCCUGACUCCUUGAGA